RNAcentral lists this ribosomal RNA (279 nucleotides) under uncultured bacterium. Its description in RNAcentral is "partial 16S ribosomal RNA". It matches the Rfam family "Bacterial small subunit ribosomal RNA", at positions 506 to 784 of the family's 1533-position model. The record is from RNAcentral.
UGCCAGCAGCCGCGGUAAUACGAAGGGGGCUAGCGUUGUUCGGAAUCACUGGGCGUAAAGCGCACGUAGGCGGAUUGAUAAGUUAGGGGUGAAAUCCCGAGGCUCAACCUCGGAACUGCCUUUGAUACUGUCAGUCUAGAGACCGAGAGAGGUGAGUGGAACUCCGAGUGUAGAGGUGAAAUUCGUAGAUAUUCGGAAGAACACCAGUGGCGAAGGCGGCUCACUGGCUCGGUACUGACGCUGAGGUGCGAAAGCGUGGGGAGCAAACAGGAUUAGAUA